This 453-nucleotide ribosomal RNA is filed under the name uncultured bacterium. RNAcentral describes it as "bacterial SSU rRNA". It matches the Rfam family "Bacterial small subunit ribosomal RNA", at positions 1052 to 1504 of the family's 1533-position model. The record is from RNAcentral.
UCGUCAGCUCGUGUUGUGAAAUGUUGGGUUAAGUCCCGCAACGAGCGCAACCCUUAUCCUUUGUUGCCAGCGGUCCGGCCGGGAACUCAAAGGAGACUGCCAGUGAUAAACUGGAGGAAGGUGGGGAUGACGUCAAGUCAUCAUGGCCCUUACGACCAGGGCUACACACGUGCUACAAUGGCGCAUACAAAGAGAAGCGACCUCGCGAGAGCAAGCGGACCUCAUAAAGUGCGUCGUAGUCCGGAUUGGAGUCUGCAACUCGACUCCAUGAAGUCGGAAUCGCUAGUAAUCGUGGAUCAGAAUGCCACGGUGAAUACGUUCCCCGGGCCUUGUACCCACCGCCCGUCCCACCAUGGGAGUGGGUUGCAAAAGAAGUAGGUAGCUUAACCUUCGGGAGGGCGCUUACCACUUUGUGAUUCAUGACUGGGGUGAAGUCGUAACAAGGUAACCGUA